Molecule: ribosomal RNA, 143 nt
Filed under: uncultured eukaryote
Lineage: Eukaryota
Description: partial 18S ribosomal RNA
Rfam family: Eukaryotic small subunit ribosomal RNA
Source: RNAcentral
UGGUGGAGUGAUUUGUCUGGUUAAUUCCGAUAACGAACGAGACCUUGACCUGCUAAAUAGACGGGUUGACAUUUUGUUGGCCCCAUACGUCUUCUUAGAGGGACAAUCGAACGUCUAGUUGAUGGAGGCAAAAGGCAAUAACA